Molecule: non-coding RNA, 102 nt
Organism: Stenotrophomonas sp. LM091
Lineage: Bacteria; Pseudomonadati; Pseudomonadota; Gammaproteobacteria; Lysobacterales; Lysobacteraceae
Source: Rfam
UACCAAAACUCUGGAGAGACCGGCGAGUGCCGGCGCCGAAGGGGCACGAAGCACGCCGAUGCGCGCUUCCAAACUCUCAGGCAAAAGGACAGAGGGGCACCC